RNAcentral lists this ribosomal RNA (603 nucleotides) under Pseudomonas sp. RNAcentral's name for it is "bacterial SSU rRNA". It matches the Rfam family "Bacterial small subunit ribosomal RNA", at positions 841 to 1438 of the family's 1533-position model. The record is from RNAcentral. Lineage: Bacteria; Pseudomonadati; Pseudomonadota; Gammaproteobacteria; Pseudomonadales; Pseudomonadaceae.
UAGUGGCCCAGUAAGCGCUUAAAGUCCCCGCGCUUUGGGAGAGCCGGCCCCACAGGUUUAAACUCUCAAAUGAAUUGACGGGGGCGCGCACAAGCGGUGGCGCAUGUGUUUUAAUUGGAAGCAACGAGAAGAACCUUCCCUGGCCUUGCCAUGGUGAGAACUUUCCAGAGAUGGAUGGGUGCUUUCGGGAAUUCAGACACAGGCGCCGCAUGGCUGUCGUCAGUUCGUGUCGUGAGAUGUUGGGUUAAGUCCCGUACGCGAGCGCAACCCUUGUCCUUAGUUACCAGCACCUCGGGUGGGCACUCUAAGGAGACUGCCGGUGACAAACCGGAGGAAGGUGGGGAUGACGUCAAGUCAUCAUGGCCCUUACGGCCAGGGCUACACACGUGCUACAAUGGUCGGUACAAAGGGUUGCCAAGCCGCGAGGUGGAGCUAAUCCCAUAAAACCGAUCGUAGUCCGGAUCGCAGUCUGCAACUCGACUGCGUGAAGUCGGAAUCGCUAGUAAUCGUGAAUCAGAAUGUCACGGUGAAUACGUUCCCGGGCCUUGUACACACCGCCCGUCACACCAUGGGAGUGGGUUGCUCCAGAAGUAGCUAGUCUAA